RNAcentral lists this transfer RNA (69 nucleotides) under Tachypleus gigas (Indo-Pacific horseshoe crab). RNAcentral's name for it is "tRNA-Trp". Lineage: Eukaryota; Metazoa; Arthropoda; Merostomata; Xiphosura; Limulidae. The record is from RNAcentral.
AAGAUUUUAAGUUAUUAUAAACUAGUAACCUUCAAAGUUACAAAAAAAAGUUAAACCUUUUAUAUCUUA